GACGAACGCUGGCGGCGUGCUUAACACAUGCAAGUCGAACGGAAAAGACGGACUUUGCUCUGUUGCUCCAGUGCCGAACGGGUGAGUAACACGUGAGCAACCUGCCCCUGACUCUGGGAUAAGUGCUGGAAACGGCGGCUAAUACUGGAUAUGUGCCCUGACUGCAUGGUGUGCGUUGGAAAAUAUUUUUCGGUUGGGGAUGGGCUCGCGGCCUAUCAGCUUGUUGGUGAGGUAAUGGCUCACCAAGGCGUCGACGGGUAGCCGGCCUGAGAGGGUGACCGGCCACACUGGGACUGAGACACGGCCCAGACUCCUACGGGAGGCAGCAGUGGGGAAUAUUGCACAAUGGGCGCAAGCCUGAUGCAGCAACGCCGCGUGAGGGAUGACGGCCUUCGGGUUGUAAACCUCUUUUAGCAGGGAAGAAGCGAAAGUGACGGUACCUGCAGAAAAAGCGCCGGCUAACUACGUG
RNAcentral lists this ribosomal RNA (469 nucleotides) under uncultured bacterium. RNAcentral describes it as "partial 16S ribosomal RNA". It matches the Rfam family "Bacterial small subunit ribosomal RNA", at positions 28 to 507 of the family's 1533-position model. The record is from RNAcentral.